GACGAACGCUGGCGGCGUGCUUAACACAUGCAAGUCGAACGGAAAGGCCCUUCUUUUGUGGGGUGCUCGAGUGGCGAACGGGUGAGUAACGCGUGAGUAACCUGCCCUUGACUUUGGGAUAACUUCAGGAAACUGGGGCUAAUACCGGAUAGGAGCUCCUGCUGCAUGGUGGGGGUUGGAAAGUUUCGGCGGUUGGGGAUGGACUCGCGGCUUAUCAGCUUGUUGGUGGGGUAGUGGCUUACCAAGGCUUUGACGGGUAGCCGGCCUGAGAGGGUGACCGGCCACAUUGGGACUGAGAUACGGCCCAGACUCCUACGGGAGGCAGCAGUGGGGAAUAUUGCACAAUGGGCGGAAGCCUGAUGCAGCAACGCCGCGUGCGGGAUGACGGCCUUCGGGUUGUAAACCGCUUUCGCCUGUGACGAAGCGUGAGUGACGGUAAUGGGUAAAGAAGCACCGGCUAACUACGUG
Molecule: ribosomal RNA, 468 nt
Filed under: uncultured bacterium
Lineage: Bacteria
Description: partial 16S ribosomal RNA
Rfam family: Bacterial small subunit ribosomal RNA
Source: RNAcentral